This is a long non-coding RNA of Zingiber officinale, 1248 nucleotides long. RefSeq lists it as uncharacterized. The transcript is spliced from 3 exons. The record is from RefSeq and is a predicted model, not a curated record. NCBI's taxonomy places the organism in Eukaryota, Viridiplantae, Streptophyta, Magnoliopsida, Zingiberales, Zingiberaceae.
CUAACAAAGUUAGAUUUAGGAAAAGGAGAUAAGAUAAAAUCAUAUGGAACGCAAAGACCAUAACAGUUUGAGAAAAAAGAAAACUUUGCCCUUUUUCCUUUCCUAACAAAACAGUACUAAAGCUAGGAGAUGCAUCAAAACCUCUUUCUCCAAAAUCAUAAAGUGUAUCAAGAAAAUAAGUUUAUAGUAGCACCACAUAAACCUAAAUUUGGUGUGAAAGAAAUCAUAGGUUGUUGAUGUAAAAAUACCGAAAAUAGGCGAAUAAUAAUAAGGGAAUUUUCCGAAAUUUUUGGAAAUUUUUCUGGAAUUUUUCGGAGCACGUAUGGACGCGUUUACGGGGAUAGAAAACGGGGUCCGGGAAAGCCUGUUUAGGCUACCCCACUGAACGAGGAAAUGUUUUAUUUCGUUUCCCAAUUUCCUUUUUCUUAUUUUUUUUUCUUUCCCUCGCCGAACCCCUCACCCGACGGUUUCCAUUUCUUCCCCAAUUCUUCACUGUGUCGUUCCUUCUUCACACCAGCGACGUCGACUCCACAACCCUAGCGCCGGCCACCGCGAGUCCCAGCCAUCUUCUCUGCCGUGUGCUUAAGGUCUUCUCUCCCUCUCCCCGCUUAAGUCGAGAUCGCGGCAACGAGAAGAGGUCAGGCUAGCCGGCGUUGCCCACCUCCGGUUCCCUUACCUGGAGAGGAAACUGCGUUGAUUUUUCCCGUGCUCUAAUCACUGCUGCCGCCUCCACCGCCCUGCGACCUAUGCUCCGCAGCCUCGUGGAGCACCGGAACAAGGACUUCUCUUCACCGGCACCGACUACCCAGAUCAUUCGGCCGUCGUCCAUUCAUUCUUGGCUGUGAUCACUUGCUAGAAGCCAAGCACCUGAAUUUCCUAAUUUUGGUUGUGCCCUAGUUUCUGGCCGAUUUCCCCACUCACUGGAGCAGGCCACGGUUUCCAAUCAGUGACACUCUUCACCAGAGAAUAGCCUGCCAAUUUGGUUAGGGGUAUUCGAGUGGAGAUUUUGACCCCCACCUUGCUGCAAUCACUGGAUCUGGCAGCAAUUUCGGCCACAAACCUUGAUCCAGCAGUAUCAAGGUUGAUGCUGUCAGGAGAGAGUUCCAGUUGCUAGUCCCCUGCAGCCCACGAGGCUGUUAUUUAUCUUUUGGCUUUAUGUACUAGACUAUGUUUGGACAUGUUUUGGAUACUUUGGAUCCUGUAUGGAUUGCUUUUAUUGGUUGAUGACUUUCAUUUGGAUUUGUUUUA